Colossoma macropomum (tambaqui) is the source of this 2173-nucleotide long non-coding RNA. RefSeq lists it as uncharacterized. The record is from RefSeq and is a predicted model, not a curated record. The transcript is spliced from 4 exons. Lineage: Eukaryota; Metazoa; Chordata; Actinopteri; Characiformes; Serrasalmidae.
UUUCUCUCCCUCUCUCUUUCUCGCUGCCUCGCUUCCAGAAACGGACGUAAAUCGACGGAAAAGAGAAACGAAGUAAAGAAGAAGUUGGAAGCGAAAGCUCGGAGGAGCCGAACCCGCAGGCUUUCUGCACUGGUGCGGGAGUUGCGCGCUGCAAUCACGGAUCCUUCAGCCACGCAGGACACGUGUGUGCCUAAAUGGAGUAAGACCUCCCAUCAUCUGCUUCAUGAUGUCCAGCACUGCCCUGCACUAUCCAGUACUGUCCAGCACUCAAGAAUAAACCACACAGCAGAAAGAGAGAGAGAGGAGAAGAGAAGAGCCAGGGAGUGGGAGGGGGAGAUGAAGGAUGGAUAGCGUUAGAUGGAUGAACUUGGAGCGGUCCGGCUCAGAUUGUGAUCGCCGGGGGCUCUCCUGCUAUCUUCCUCCUCUGCAGGCCCCUCUCUCCAGCCUGCAGAGCGUGCUAACGCACCGAGGCCAGCUAGGGUGAGCUAUCAUGGGCUUGGAGAGGUAGCCUGAACCCCCCUUCCUCGGUCAGCACCACCUCUGGAGCCCAGAGUGAAAUCAAUAUGAGGAAAGAGAGACUGAUGCUGGAUCACCCAAGCUAGCCCCCCAGCCGCGAGCCAAAUGACCUCACACACACAUAGACACAGUCACACACGUUAGCACUACAUAGUUAUGCUCUCUCUAUCUGUCUCUCUCACUUACAAAGAUAGUCAUGCUAACACGCUAACAUGCAUACCGUUAUGCUCUCUCACAUACACACAAACACACACCAGGGUGAGCAAAGACCUCGCACAAGUCCCGACUCCCACACACCUAACCGUGUGUAUGUGUGUGUGUGUAAGGUUUACCUUGAGGGCAUGUUAUUUUGGACCAGCUCUCUACAAUCCAAACAGGCCUCAAUUAUUUUUCCUGAAGAUGCCAAAAGGUCCUAGCUGGCUUCUCCCCUCUUUCUCUCACUCUCUCUCUCCAUCACUCUACCUUCAGCCAUGCCGCCUCCCACUCUCGGCGCGAGAGAGAAAUUAUUCAAAUAUGUUUGUACAACGAUGAACUUCCUCCCCCGAGCAUCUCAUUGCCCAUUCUGUGGCAAAGACUUGAAAGAAGAAAAUCCUUUGCUGCGCCGUGCCUUGCUGUGCUAACACUCCUACACUCCUCCACACCAGGGAGGCUAACGCACCAUGAUGCCUCGGCCAUAAUGACCACCUCUCUCACCGAGUUUUCCCUCAAGAACAACGGCCAUCAGUCAGUCGAGCCAUGGGACAGUGUGGACUUAGCAGAGCCCAGUACAGCAUUACAUCAGAAGUGGUGCUAAAUCAGCAAGCUCAAGUGCAGACCACAUCAAACUUCAACCUCAGCCAACAAGAUCGCUCACUGAAGGGAUGCUGAAUUAAGACUGAAGAGUAGACUGACCGGUCCUUCUGGAGAGAGAAAAACAGCACUGAACACAGUGACAAUGCUGAUGACAGUGAUGUCCGACAGCUCUUGUUCAGGCCCGGCACUGGCAGAAGAAAACAGCUAUCAGACGUGCACUGCAGGACUGUGUUGAGUUUUUGUGAAAUGUACACAACCUCAAAAAUGAGUUUCUGUUGAAUGUCUUACCUUUGCUGCUGAGGUUCUUUCGAUUUAUACCUAAACCUAAAGUCUGGAUAUUUCAUGACAUUUCUGUUGCAGUGUAAACAACAGAGGACUGUGGACAAUCUGCAAAAGGUAAGUAGACAAAAAGAGGUAAGUGAGAUACAUGCACAAAUCUAUUGUUAGGUUUUUGUUUUUGGAAUGUUCAUACUCAGCACCAGCUUAUGUAUAUGUAUUUUAUAUAAUAUUAAGGAAUAAUGUUUACAUGUGGCUAUUUCUAUAUAACUCCAUUAUGGUGGUACUUCUGAAUGCUUUUAGUUCUUGCUGCCUCCUCAGCACAUCAGUAACAGUAAAUAUAUCAUACAUAAUCGCAUCGCUGUCCAAAGAAAGACAUGAAUCUCCAAAAGAGCAGCUUUACAGGAGAAAGGGAAACAUUCUUAACUUUUAAUGUAAGGACUGUUCAGAGGUUUUAGUCUAAUUCAUUUUGGCUCAUUUCUACUGGUCCACUCACUGUAAAAUUUUCAAACAUUGUAAAAGACAACUGCUGUGUUCAAAUGAUAUAGAAAAAUAAAAACUGAAACAUUUUUUGAACAGUGAUGAUAAA